GGCCCCGUCGUCCAGUGGCCUAGGACGCCGGCCUUUCACGCCGGUAACGCCAGUUCGAAUCUGGUCGGGGCUA
Molecule: transfer RNA, 73 nt
Filed under: Acidimicrobiia bacterium
Lineage: Bacteria; Bacillati; Actinomycetota; Acidimicrobiia
Description: tRNA-Glu
Rfam family: tRNA
About the family: Transfer RNA (tRNA) molecules are approximately 80 nucleotides in length. Their secondary structure includes four short double-helical elements and three loops (D, anti-codon, and T loops). Further hydrogen bonds mediate the characteristic L-shaped molecular structure. tRNAs have two regions of fundamental functional importance: the anti-codon, which is responsible for specific mRNA codon recognition, and the 3' end, to which the tRNAs corresponding amino acid is attached (by aminoacyl-tRNA synthetases). tRNAs cope with the degeneracy of the genetic code in two manners: having more than one tRNA (with a specific anti-codon) for a particular amino acid; and 'wobble' base-pairing, i.e. permitting non-standard base-pairing at the 3rd anti-codon position.
Source: RNAcentral